Molecule: ribosomal RNA, 621 nt
Filed under: Triticum aestivum (bread wheat)
Lineage: Eukaryota; Viridiplantae; Streptophyta; Magnoliopsida; Poales; Poaceae
Description: partial small subunit ribosomal RNA
Source: RNAcentral
AUGGUGGCGUCCGCACCGCAAGCCGCAGCAGGCAACACACGCCUUCUCUCGUUCUUUGGCUGCAGCAAAAUCCAGCGCCCAACUCUAUCGGCUGCCGGUCGUCCCGUAUCUGAUCCGGAGAUGGUGGACUAUAUCCUGGCCGGACUGGACCGCGACUACGACUCCGUGGUGGCGGCGAUCGGCGCUGUCGAAAACACCAUCACCGCCGACGAUUUUUUUGCUCAGACCUCUGCCUUUGAUCAAAGGAUGGAGAUGCUAGGCGACUCAUCUUUAGGCGGGUUCCAUUCAUCUGCUAAUGCAGUCUACAGAGGCCGUGGCCAGUCCCGCGGCAGAUCUCGUGGGCGUGGAGGAAGAGGCCGUGGCCGUGGUGAUCGUGGUGACCGCGGUGACCGACAGUCUUCUUCUUCCAAUGAAGGCGGCGGCUCGAUGGCACCCGUUACACGCCGUCGGAUAUGGGCGAUGACCUCUGUCGUCAUGCUCGCCAUGGUCGCCAUGCUCUUCAUCACACCGUCGGAUUUGGUAUUCAGGACUGUUAGCGCGAACUACGGACUAGAGGUGGACUACUGCUGGAUAAAAAUGCAGUGCACACUAGUGCAUAUACUAGUGAAACACACACACUAG